This 242-nucleotide long non-coding RNA is filed under the name Danio rerio (zebrafish). Its description in RNAcentral is "lncRNA (ENSDARG00000117220.1)". Lineage: Eukaryota; Metazoa; Chordata; Actinopteri; Cypriniformes; Danionidae. The record is from RNAcentral.
CAUUCAUGAUGUGGUCUGACACUCUCAGCAGCGAGUGGACCCACAUGCACUUCAUUUGGACCUGGAGAAUGAAGCGGGAUCCCAGAAAGCACUUUUUCUCAUCAGAAAUCUCUAUCUGUAUGUGUAAUUUCAGAUACUUUCUGCUUUAUUUUUUUCCAGAGUCACGAGAACUGAGUUUGUUUCAGUGGCCGAGCCUGCAAGGAGAAGGACAGACAGAGCACAUGUUCACCGUGAUACUCUAG